This 132-nucleotide small nuclear RNA is filed under the name Locusta migratoria (migratory locust). RNAcentral describes it as "U2 small nuclear RNA". It matches the Rfam family "U2 spliceosomal RNA", at positions 25 to 155 of the family's 192-position model. Rfam says of the family: U2 is a small nuclear RNA (snRNA) component of the spliceosome (involved in pre-mRNA splicing). Complementary binding between U2 snRNA (in an area lying towards the 5' end but 3' to hairpin I) and the branchpoint sequence (BPS) of the intron results the bulging out of an unpaired adenosine, on the BPS, which initiates a nucleophilic attack at the intronic 5' splice site, thus starting the first of two transesterification reactions that mediate splicing. Lineage: Eukaryota; Metazoa; Arthropoda; Insecta; Orthoptera; Acrididae. The record is from RNAcentral.
GAUCAAAGUGUAGUAUCUGUUCUUAUCAGCUUAAUAUCUGAUACGUCCUGCAUCGCAGGACCAGAAUAUUAAACUCAUUUUUGGAUCAUGACGGAGUGCUAAGUGCUUGCACUACCUCUGUCACGGGUUGGC